AGAAGUCGAUGAGUUUUGUGGAUUGAAAAAAUUUAGUUUAAUAAAUUUAAAAUUUUGCUUAAUAAUAAAAAAUAGAAGAAGUGCGGAAAAAACAAUAAAGAAAAAACAUGUUAUAAUCAUUUAAUAACACAAAAAAUGUGUUUGGCCUAAGCACGAACAAAUUAAUGAAGACAUCCGAUUUAAUUGACUAGCUAGUAAGAAUUUAGCACGUCAAUUUCUCUCUAUAAUCAAUUGCCACAUGAUUUUAUUUGAGAUUAUUUGCUUUGAUUCUCCUCUGUCUCGGUUUGUCACCAAAAGGCAGGCCUUUUGGAGUUUCCCAAACCUAACCAAACAUAAAAAAAUCAUCCAAGAAAAUGACACCAUGUUCGAUAAAUAAUAUUAUAUAUUCUUUUUUAUAACUUAAUAUAUAAAAGUAUAUACAUGUGAGUUCCACUAUUGUAGUAUGAAAAUAUAUAAACCAGAACUAAUAUACUUCAUCAAUGGUUAAUUAGGUAAAACCAAGCACGAGUUAGACAAAAAAAAUAUCUAUGACUAAUUAAAUAUUUAUAUAGCUGUCAAUAUACCAUAUCCAUACGACUCGUUAAAUUAAAUAUACAUGAUCAUGUACAUUUAUACCAUAAAAUCACCGAAUUAGCUUGAGUGUGAUAAUUGAAUUCGAUUUACCUAAUCUUAAACCUACAAUUAAUAUUUUUUUUGGGACCCGUAUACACAUGUUUUAUAGAUGUACAACUGAGCACAAAGUUAGGUGUAAAAUGAAACUUGACUGUUUUAUACUCCAACAGUGUUGAGUGUUCGUCACGUAAUAAUAAUGCAAGUGAUAAAAGAUUGCAGAUAAACUUUAUUUGUUUGUUAAAUGUAAAAUUUAGGGUUUUGACUUUUAAGUAGUGAAACUUUUUUGAAACUAAUAAAGAUAUUUCUUUAUUUGAAAAAUUGUCAAGACUUUGAAUAUAAUGUGCAUGUCUUAUGAGUGAAAAAGGUCACGGAUUAAAAAAAAUAUAGUCAAACAAUCAAAAUAUAAAGAAUUUAUAAGAAAUUUUAAAAAAUGGAUUAAUUCCAGAGGUUACUUAUCACAGAUUUGUUUGUUUUGAAUGAAAUAAAGAAGAGACAAGUUAGUGAGAAAUACGAAACUUCUCUUGUUUGAUUUGGAAAGAAGAAUGAGAGAGAGUGUGAAUCCCAUACACUUUUAAUUUCUUCUUUAAACAAGGAAGAAUUGUAUUAUUUCAUGUACUGCGGUUGUCAAUGUAUGGCUAACUACAUUAAUCAAAGCUUCAAGUUUUAUCAAACGGUGGGUGUUAUGUUGGUCGCCCACAAUGUCACAAAGCUUCGUAUUUUCAUAAAUUUUACGUUUUUUUUAAUAAACAUUGGGUUUUAUUU
RNAcentral lists this long non-coding RNA (1374 nucleotides) under Lathyrus oleraceus (garden pea). RNAcentral describes it as "Pisum sativum (pea) long non-coding RNA (PSAT_LNC035906)". The record is from RNAcentral. Lineage: Eukaryota; Viridiplantae; Streptophyta; Magnoliopsida; Fabales; Fabaceae.